AUUGAACGCUGGCGGCAGGCCUAACACAUGCAAGUCGAGCGAGCGGCGGACGGGUGAGUAAUGCCUGGGAAUUGCCCAGUCGAGGGGGAUAACAGUUGGAAACGACUGCUAAUACCGCAUACUAUUGUAUUGCCCAGGUGGGAUUAGAUAGUUGGUGAGGUAAUGGCUCACCAAGGCGAAGAUCCCUAUCUGGUCUGAGAGGAUGAUCAGCCAAACUGGAAAUGGGACACGGGCCAGACUGCUACGGGAGGGAGCAGUAGGGAAUCUUAGGAAAUGGACGGAAGGCUGAAGAAGGAACGGCGCGUGAGUGAAGAAGGUUUUCGGGUCGUAAAGCUCGUUGAGAGAGAAGACGGUAACUAAACAGAAAGGGACGGCUAACUACGUGCCAGCAGCCGCGGUAAUUC
This 404-nucleotide ribosomal RNA is filed under the name uncultured bacterium. RNAcentral describes it as "partial 16S ribosomal RNA". It matches the Rfam family "Bacterial small subunit ribosomal RNA", at positions 29 to 526 of the family's 1533-position model. The record is from RNAcentral.